Molecule: long non-coding RNA, 1082 nt
Organism: Alligator mississippiensis (American alligator)
Lineage: Eukaryota; Metazoa; Chordata; Crocodylia; Alligatoridae
Exons: 2
Source: RefSeq, a predicted model, not a curated record
UAAAAGCACUCACUACCCUGGGCUCCUGCAUCCACUUCUCUUGCCUGACUCUCCUUGGUGAACUGGGCUGACCUCCACCCCACCACGAUGUCCUGCUACAAUGAGUGCUACACCCCAGGCGCCGUGGCGUGCCCAAGACCCAUUGCUGACAGCUGGAACGGGCUCUGCGUUAGACAGUGCCCUGGCUCCAGAGUGGUGAUCCAGCCGCCGCCUGCUGUGGUGACUGUCCCAGGCCCUAUCCUCAACAACUACCCACAAGACAGCGUCGUGGGCUCUGCAGGGGUUCCAGCAGUUGGCUACAGCCCCAGAGGCUACCUGGGCUAUGGGGGAUCAGAGGGAGCUCUGGUUUCUGGGGGCUCAGGGGGAGCUCUGGUUUCUGGGGGAUCUCUGGGAUAUGGGAGUGAUCUAGGUUAUGGUGUUGGCCUUGGUUAUGGUGUUGGCCUUGGUUACGGAGGCAAUCUGGGUUACAGUGGGGGUCUUUGCUAUGGGGAUGGUCUGGGCUAUGGGAGCUAUGGAGGCUGCUAUAGCCCCCGUAGCUUGAGCAGUUAUGGGGGACUGUGCGGCUCUGGCUAUUCGGGAUUUGGCUAUGGAUACUGCAGACCUUUUUCUUACCGCCGGUACAACAGGUCCCUCUCUGGAAGCUGCGGGCCAUGCUAAACUCAGUAGGUUCGUGCCCAGAGCAAGGCCAAGGCAUUAAACCGAGAGCCAGAAAUGGAUUGCCGGGCGCGCUCAUGGGCAAGGGGAUUCCAGAGUGCUGAGCACCUGCAGCGCCUGUGUUAAUUCAUGGGAGAUGUAAGCGCUCAGCACCUCCUCGAAUCAAGCCCGCAUGUGUCUUUCUCAUGUUCCACUUUACCUUCACUGUCUGACCCAAGGGAAUGUGCAUCUUGGUCGUGCCUCUCUCGUGAUUUUCCCAUUUGACACGAUUGCCAAUCCUGGCAGCCACAAGCCUGGAGGAAGAACGUCUCGUAUGGACACUGUCGUCCCCUUGGAGCAAAGAUUGGCUGCCGCCUGUGUUGAAAUUCUUCUCCCCCUGCAAAUGUACACUCCCUUUCUUGUUCACAUUAAAGCUUUGCUGCAUCACA